UGGUGGCUCAUGCCUGUAAUCGUAGCUACUCAGGAGGCUGUGAUCUGAGGAUUGUCGUUCAAAGCCAGUAACGGUAGGAAAGUCCGUGAAACUCUCAUCUCCAAUAAACCACCAGAAAA
This is a long non-coding RNA of Dipodomys spectabilis (banner-tailed kangaroo rat), 119 nucleotides long. RefSeq lists it as uncharacterized. Lineage: Eukaryota; Metazoa; Chordata; Mammalia; Rodentia; Heteromyidae. The record is from RefSeq and is a predicted model, not a curated record. The transcript has 3 exons.